GUGAGGAAUAUUGGACAAUGGGCACAAGCCUGAUCCAGCCAUGCCGCGUGCAGGAAGACGCAUCUAUGGUGUGUAAACUGCUUUUGUACGGGAAGAAACACUCCCUCGUGAGGGAGCUUGACGGUACCGUAAGAAUAAGGAUCGGCUAACUCCGUGCCAGCAGCCGCGGUAAUACGGAGGAUCCAAGCGUUAUCCGGAAUCAUUGGGUUUAAAGGGUCCGUAGGCGGUUUAAUUAGUCAGUGGUGAAAGCCCAUCGCUCAACGAUGGAACGGCCAUUGAUACUGUUAGACUUGAAUUACAAGGAAGUAACUAGAAUAUGUAGUGUAGCGGUGAAAUGCUUAGAUAUUACAUGGAAUACCAAUUGCGAAGGCAGGUUACUACUUGUGGAUUGACGCUGAUGGACGAAAGCGUGGGGAGCGAACAGGAUUAGAAACCCUUGUAGUCC
Molecule: ribosomal RNA, 445 nt
Filed under: uncultured bacterium
Lineage: Bacteria
Description: partial 16S ribosomal RNA
Rfam family: Bacterial small subunit ribosomal RNA
Source: RNAcentral